This 253-nucleotide ribosomal RNA is filed under the name uncultured bacterium. Its description in RNAcentral is "partial 16S ribosomal RNA". It matches the Rfam family "Bacterial small subunit ribosomal RNA", at positions 524 to 776 of the family's 1533-position model. The record is from RNAcentral.
UACGUAGGGUGCAAGCGUUGUCCGGAAUUAUUGGGCGUAAAGAGCUCGUAGGCGGUCUGUCGCGUCGGCUGUGAAAACCCGAGGCUCAACCUCGGGUCUGCAGUCGAUACGGGCAAACUAGAGUACUGCAGGGGAGACUGGAAUUCCUGGUGUAGCGGUGAAAUGCGCAGAUAUCAGGAGGAACACCGGUGGCGAAGGCGGGUCUCUGGGCAGUAACUGACGCUGAGGAGCGAAAGCGUGGGGAGCGAACAGG